CAGGCCUAACACAUGCAAGUCGAACGGAAAGGCCCUGCUUUUGUGGGGUGCUCGAGUGGCGAACGGGUGAGUAACACGUGAGUAACCUGCCCUUGACUUUGGGAUAACUUCAGGAAACUGGGGCUAAUACCGGAUAGGAGCUCCUGCUGCAUGGUGGGGGUUGGAAAGUUUCGGCGGUUGGGGAUGGACUCGCGGCUUAUCAGCUUGUUGGUGGGGUAGUGGCUUACCAAGGCUUUGACGGGUAGCCGGCCUGAGAGGGUGACCGGCCACAUUGGGACUGAGAUACGGCCCAGACUCCUACGGGAGGCAGCAGUGGGGAAUAUUGCACAAUGGGCGGAAGCCUGAUGCAGCAACGCCGCGUGCGGGAUGACGGCCUUCGGGUUGUAAACCGCUUUCGCCUGUGACGAAGCGUGAGUGACGGUAAUGGGUAAAGAAGCACCGGCUAACUACGUGCCAGCAGCCGCGGUGAUACGUAGGGUGCGAGCGUUGUCCGGAUUUAUUGGGCGUAAAGGGCUCGUAGGUGGUUGAUCGCGUCGGAAGUGUAAUCUUGGGGCUUAACCCUGAGCGUGCUUUCGAUACGGGUUGACUUGAGGAAGGUAGGGGAGAAUGGAAUUCCUGGUGGAGCGGUGGAAUGCGCAGAUAUCAGGAGGAACACCAGUGGCGAAGGCGGUUCUCUGGGCCUUUCCUGACGCUGAGGAGCGAAAGCGUGGGGAGCGAACAGGCUUAGAUACCCUAUAGUCCACGCUGUAA
RNAcentral lists this ribosomal RNA (750 nucleotides) under uncultured bacterium. RNAcentral's name for it is "bacterial SSU rRNA". It matches the Rfam family "Bacterial small subunit ribosomal RNA", at positions 43 to 805 of the family's 1533-position model. The record is from RNAcentral.